RNAcentral lists this ribosomal RNA (253 nucleotides) under uncultured bacterium. RNAcentral's name for it is "partial 16S ribosomal RNA". It matches the Rfam family "Bacterial small subunit ribosomal RNA", at positions 524 to 776 of the family's 1533-position model. The record is from RNAcentral.
UACGUAGGGUGCGAGCGUUGUCCGGAAUUAUUGGGCGUAAAGAGCUCGUAGGCGGUGUGUCGCGUCGGCCGUGAAAGUCCGGGGCUCAACUCCGGAUCUGCGGUGGGUACGGGCAGACUAGAGUGAUGUAGGGGAGACUGGAAUUCCUGGUGUAGCGGUGAAAUGCGCAGAUAUCAGGAGGAACACCGAUGGCGAAGGCAGGUCUCUGGGCAUUAACUGACGCUGAGGAGCGAAAGCAUGGGGAGCGAACAGG